RNAcentral lists this microRNA precursor (103 nucleotides) under Marmota monax (woodchuck). The record is from RNAcentral. Lineage: Eukaryota; Metazoa; Chordata; Mammalia; Rodentia; Sciuridae.
AGUGGGAUAGCUGGGUCAAAUGGUAGUUGCAUUCCCAGUUUUCCAAGGAAUCUCCAUAUUGCUUUCCAUAAUGGCUGCACCAAUUUGCAGUCCCACCAGCAAU